Molecule: ribosomal RNA, 429 nt
Filed under: Chloroflexota bacterium
Lineage: Bacteria; Bacillati; Chloroflexota
Description: Chloroflexi bacterium partial 16S ribosomal RNA
Rfam family: Bacterial small subunit ribosomal RNA
Source: RNAcentral
UGGGGAAUAUUGCACAAUGGGCGCAAGCCUGAUGCAGCCAUGCCGCGUGUAUGAAGAAGGCCUUCGGGUUGUAAAGUACUUUCAGCGGGGAGGAAGGGAGUAAAGUUAAUACCUUUGCUCAUUGACGUUACCCGCAGAAGAAGCACCGGCUAACUCCGUGCCAGCAGCCGCGGUAAUACGGAGGGUGCAAGCGUUAAUCGGAAUUACUGGGCGUAAAGCGCACGCAGGCGGUUUGUUAAGUCAGAUGUGAAAUCCCCGGGCUUAACCCGGGAAUUGCAUCUGAUACUGGUCAGCUAGAGUCUUGUAGAGGGGGGUAGAAUUCCAUGUGUAGCGGUGAAAUGCGUAGAGAUGUGGAGGAAUACCGGUGGCGAAGGCGGCCCCCUGGACGAAGACUGACGCUCAGGUGCGAAAGCGUGGGGAGCAAACAGG